RNAcentral lists this ribosomal RNA (497 nucleotides) under uncultured bacterium. RNAcentral's name for it is "partial 16S ribosomal RNA". It matches the Rfam family "Bacterial small subunit ribosomal RNA", at positions 28 to 507 of the family's 1533-position model. The record is from RNAcentral.
GAUGAACGCUGGCGGCGUGCCUAAUACAUGCAAGUCGAGCGAACAGACGAGGAGCUUGCUCCUCUGACGUUAGCGGCGGACGGGUGAGUAACACGUGGAUAACCUACCUAUAAGACUGGGAUAACUUCGGGAAACCGGAUCUAAUACCGGAUAAUAUAUUGAACCGCAUGGUUCAAUAGUGAAAGACGGUUUUGCUGUCACUUAUAGAUGGAUCCGCGCCGCAUUAGCUAGUUGGUAAGGUAACGGCUUACCAAGGCAACGAUGCGUAGCCGACCUGAGAGGGUGAUCGGCCACACUGGAACUGAGACACGGUCCAGACUCCUACGGGAGGCAGCAGUAGGGAAUCUUGCGCAAUGGGCGAAAGCCUGACGGAGCAACGCCGCGUGAGUGAUGAAGGUCUUCGGAUCGUAAAACUCUGUAAUUAGGGAAGAACGAAUGUGUGAGUAACUAUGCACGUCUUGACGGUACCUAAUCAGAAAGCCACGGCUAACUACGUG